Molecule: ribosomal RNA, 620 nt
Filed under: uncultured Lachnospiraceae bacterium
Lineage: Bacteria; Bacillati; Bacillota; Clostridia; Lachnospirales; Lachnospiraceae
Description: bacterial SSU rRNA
Rfam family: Bacterial small subunit ribosomal RNA
Source: RNAcentral
AGUGGCGGACGGGUGAGUAACGCGUAGAGUAACCUGCCUUGGAGUGGGGAAUAACAGCCGGAAACGGCUGCUAAUACCGCAUGAUGUAUCUGGAUCGCAUGGUUCUGGAUACCAAAGAUUUAUCGCUCUGAGAUGGACUCGCGUCUGAUUAGCUAGUUGGUGAGGUAAUGGCUCACCAAGGCGACGAUCAGUAGCCGGACUGAGAGGUUGGCCGGCCACAUUGGGACUGAGACACGGCCCAGACCCCUACGGGAGGCAGCAGUGGGGAAUAUUGGGCAAUGGGCGAAAGCCUGACCCAGCAACGCCGCGUGAAGGAAGAAGGCCCUCGGGUUGUAAACUUCUUUUGUCAGGGACGAAGCAAGUGACGGUACCUGACGAAUAAGCCACGGCUAACUACGUGCCAGCAGCCGCGGUAAUACGUAGGUGGCAAGCGUUAUCCGGAUUUACUGGGUGUAAAGGGCGUGUAGGCGGGAGUGCAAGUCAGAUGUGAAAACUAUGGGCUCAACCCAUAGCCUGCAUUUGAAACUGUACUUCUUGAGUGAUGGAGAGGCAGGCGGAAUUCCCUGUGUAGCGGUGAAAUGCGUAGAUAUAGGGAGGAACACCAGUGGCGAAGGCGGCCU